Molecule: ribosomal RNA, 998 nt
Filed under: uncultured bacterium
Lineage: Bacteria
Description: bacterial SSU rRNA
Rfam family: Bacterial small subunit ribosomal RNA
Source: RNAcentral
GGGGGAUAUUGCACAAUGGGCGAAAGCCUGAUGCAGCGACGCCGCGUGAGGGAAGACGGUCUUCGGAUUGUAAACCUCUGUCUUCAGGGACGAAAGGAAUGACGGUACCUGAGGAGGAAGCCACGGCUAACUACGUGCCAGCAGCCGCGGUAAUACGUAGGUGGCAAGCGUUGUCCGGAAUUACUGGGUGUAAAGGGAGCGUAGGCGGGGAUGCAAGUUGAAUGUUUAAACUAUCGGCUCAACUGAUAGUCGCGUUCAAAACUGCAACUCUUGAGUGAAGUAGAGGUAGGCGGAAUUCCUAGUGUAGCGGUGAAAUGCGUAGAUAUUAGGAGGAACACCAGUGGCGAAGGCGGCCUACUGGGCUUUUACUGACGCUGAGGCUCGAAAGCAUGGGGAGCAAACAGGAUUAGAUACCCUGGUAGUCCAUGCCGUAAACGAUGAUUACUAGGUGUGGGGGGACUGACCCCUUCCGUGCCGGAGUUAACACAAUAAGUAAUCCACCUGGGGAGUACGACCGCAAGGUUGAAACUCAAAGGAAUUGACGGGGGCCCGCACAAGCAGUGGAGUAUGUGGUUUAAUUCGAAGCAACGCGAAGAACCUUACCAGGUCUUGACAUCCAGAGAAUCCACUAGAGAUAGAGGAGUGCCUUCGGGAACUCUGAGACAGGUGGUGCAUGGUUGUCGUCAGCUCGUGUCGUGAGAUGUUGGGUUAAGUCCCGCAACGAGCGCAACCCUUACGAUUAGUUGCUACGCAAGAGCACUCUAAUAGGACUGCCGUUGACAAAACGGAGGAAGGUGGGGAUGACGUCAAAUCAUCAUGCCCCUUAUGACCUGGGCCACACACGUACUACAAUGGUGAUUAACAGAGGGAAGCAAAACCGCGAGGCAGAGCAAACCCCUAAAAAUCAUCCCAGUUCGGAUUGCAGGCUGCAACCCGCCUGCAUGAAGCCGGAAUUGCUAGUAAUCGCGGAUCAGCAUGCCGCGGUGAAUACGUUCCCG